AAAAGAGUGCAGACAGCAGAAGACAAAAAGAACUACAAUCCGGCAACCUGUGGAACAAAAACCACAUUCACAGAAAGAUAGACAAGAUGAAAAGGCAGAGGGCUAUGUACCAGAUGAAGGAACAAGAUAAAACCCAAGAAAAACAACUAAAUGAAGUGGAGAUAGGAAA
Balaenoptera musculus (blue whale) is the source of this 169-nucleotide long non-coding RNA. RefSeq lists it as uncharacterized. The record is from RefSeq and is a predicted model, not a curated record. NCBI's taxonomy places the organism in Eukaryota, Metazoa, Chordata, Mammalia, Artiodactyla, Balaenopteridae. The transcript has 3 exons.